GGCAACGUGCCAGAGUGGUUAAUGGGUAAGCCUCGAAAGCUUAUGGUUUCGGCCUCACAGGUUCGAAUCCUGUCGUUGUCG
Stachybotrys elegans is the source of this 81-nucleotide non-coding RNA. NCBI's taxonomy places the organism in Eukaryota, Fungi, Ascomycota, Sordariomycetes, Hypocreales, Stachybotryaceae. The record is from the annotation of a GenBank genome assembly.